AGAGUUUGAUCAUGGCUCAGAUUGAACGCUGGCGGCAGGCCUAACACAUGCAAGUCGAACGGUAACAGGAAGCAGCUUGCUGCUUUGCUGACGAGUGGCGGACGGGUGAGUAAUGUCUGGGAAACUGCCCGAUGGAGGGGGAUAACUACUGGAAACGGUAGCUAAUACCGCAUAACGUCGCAAGACCAAAGAGGGGGGACCUUAGGGCCUCUUGCCAUCGGAUGUGCCCAGAUGGGAUUAGCUAGUAGGUGGGGUAACGGCUCACCUAGGCGACGAUCCCUAGCUGGUCUGAGAGGAUGACCAGCCACACUGGAACUGAGACACGGUCCAGACUCCUACGGGAGGCAGCAGUGGGGAAUAUUGCACAAUGGGCGCAAGCCUGAUGCAGCCAUGCCGCGUGUAUGAAGAAGGCCUUCGGGUUGUAAAGUACUUUCAGCGGGGAGGAAGGGAGUAAAGUUAAUACCUUUGCUCAUUGACGUUACCCGCAGAAGAAGCACCGGCUAACUCCGUGCCAGCAGCCGCGGUAAUACGGAGGGUGCAAGCGUUAAUCGGAAUUACUGGGCGUAAAGCGCACGCAGGCGGUUUGUUAAGUCAGAUGUGAGAGCCCCGGGCUCAACCUGGGAACUGCAUCUGAUACUGGCAAGCUUGAGUCUCGUAGAGGGGGGUAGAAUUCCAGGUGUAGCGGUGAAAUGCGUAGAGAUCUGGAGGAAUACCGGUAGCGAAGGCGGCCCCCUGGACGAAGACUGACGCUCAGGUGCGAAAGCGUGGGGAGCAAACAGGAUUAGAUACUCCUGCAUGCCAGACGGUUCAUUUUGUAGCGCCAGAGUCAGAACUUCCUCAAUGCGCUUCACAGGAUGAAUGUCCAGAUCGGCAAUUACGUUGUCAGGAAUCUCUUCCAGAUCGCGUUUAUUUUCGAACGGAAUUAACACUGUUUUAAUCCCGCCGCGAUGCGCUGCCAGUAGUUUUUCUUUCAAACCACCGAUCGGCAGUACCUGACCACGCAGAGUGAUCUCAC
RNAcentral lists this ribosomal RNA (1015 nucleotides) under Escherichia coli. RNAcentral's name for it is "bacterial SSU rRNA". The stretch from base 2 to 822 matches the Rfam family "Bacterial small subunit ribosomal RNA", at positions 9 to 873 of the family's 1533-position model. The record is from RNAcentral. Lineage: Bacteria; Pseudomonadati; Pseudomonadota; Gammaproteobacteria; Enterobacterales; Enterobacteriaceae.